UCUGCUUCUCUCCCCGUCUCCUCUGCUGAGUAUCAACCUCUUAAGGUUUUAUUUUCUUCCCUUUUCUCCUCUCCCGAGUGAACUCUGGUGCCCUUCUCCUCAAGCCUCACAGUUUGGGCCUCCCCUCCCCCAGGUCUCAAAUCUAAGCUGGCCAAAUGCAAACCAGACGUCUGCCACACCAGUUUCACAGAUCAUCAGCUUUCUGGGGGCAGGGACCCUACCUGUCUUGAUCAUCGCUGUAGGGUCAGCACAGAGCACAGAGCUGUGGAUGGAUGGACAACCAAGUGACUGGAGGCUGAAAUUAGCCUGAAGUGAUUAUGUUCUGCGGGAGACAGUGGGAUGGUCAGACUCCACGUGAAGCGGAUUGUCCUGGAGCCUCCAGGCCUCGGGCCCUCCCUGAGCACUUGGGAGACACCAAGCAGGAGUUCCCGGCAUCUCCAGUGGUCAGCCCUGUCCCGGCAGGCGUGCCUCCUCUCUGCCUUCCCAGGUCCUCCCACACGAGGACCUGGCCAGUGGCCAUCAGAGGUACGUGCCCUCUGUGUGACUUUUGGAAUGUUGAUUCCCCAGAUGUCGUCAUGGCCAACUCCCUCACCUUCUUCAAGUCUUUCCAGAUACCACCUUUGCAGUGAAGCCUCCCUGACCAUGCAAUUUAAAAUUGCAAUCACCACUCCCUGGAAUAUUCCCUGCCUUGCAUGCUUGAAUCCACUUUAACUUUUCUACUUCUUCUAUUUACAGCUUUGUCAUCCUCUAAUAUAUUGUAUAAUAUACUUAUUUUGUAUAUGAGUUAUGUUUUCUGACCCCCAAACACUAGAAUGUAGAUUCUACAAAGGGUUGUCGGUUUUGCUUAUUGAUGUAUCGUAAAUGCCUGGCGUGUGGUAGUUGCUCAAUAAUGUGUGUUGAACACAUGCCUGACAUG
Molecule: long non-coding RNA, 916 nt
Organism: Sciurus carolinensis (gray squirrel)
Lineage: Eukaryota; Metazoa; Chordata; Mammalia; Rodentia; Sciuridae
Exons: 4
Source: RefSeq, a predicted model, not a curated record